GUAGUCCACGCCGUAAACGAUGAAUACUAGGUGUAGGGGUUGUCAUGACCUCUGUGCCGCCGCUAACGCAUUAAGUAUUCCGCCUGGGGAGUACGGUCGCAAGAUUAAAAACUCAAAGGAAUUGACGGGGGGCCCGCACAAGCAGCGGAGCAUGUGGUUUAAUUCGAAGCAACGCGAAGAACCUUACCUAGACUUGACAUCUCCUGCAUUACCCUUAAUCGGGGGAAGUUCUUUCGGGAACAGGAAGACAGGUGGUGCAUGGUUGUCGUCAGCUCGUGUCGUGAGAUGUUGGGUUAAGUCCCGCAACGAGCGCAACCCUUAUUGUUAGUUGCUACCAUUUAGUUGAGCACUCUAGCGAGACUGCCCGGGUUAACCGGGAGGAAGGUGGGGAUGACGUCAAAUCAUCAUGCCCCUUAUGUCUAGGGGCUACACACGUGCUACAAUGGCAAGUACAAAGAGAAGCAAGACCGCGAGGUGGAGCAAAACUCAAAAACUUGUCAUCGAUUCGGAUUGUAGGCUGAAACUCGCCUACAUGAAGCUGGAGUUGCUAGUAAUCGCGAAUCAGCAUGUCGCGGUGAAUACGUUCCCGGGGCCUUGUACACACGCCCAGUUCCAGCCAUCCAUGAGAGUUGGCAAUACCCAACGUACGUGAUCUAACCCG
RNAcentral lists this ribosomal RNA (661 nucleotides) under uncultured bacterium. RNAcentral's name for it is "bacterial SSU rRNA". It matches the Rfam family "Bacterial small subunit ribosomal RNA", at positions 790 to 1442 of the family's 1533-position model. The record is from RNAcentral.